GGGCGGAGCAAAACUCCUAAAUCAGCAAACAAUAGUCAUUGACAUUUUAGGGAAAUAAUUCAUGAAAAUACAUUUUUCUUUAUAUUAGGGUCUAUACAUGAAUAAAAGACGCCACAUAUGUAUGAUUAUCUUUUUCUGACAACCACAUACAGGUGACAAUAACAUUUUAUGUUCAGCACAUCAGUUGGUCUGACCACGUAUGACUAUUUGCGUCAGUAGGGAAUUCCACUCUUUCUAGAAACUUUGAGAGCACUUUGAACAGACAUAAGGGCCACCGAGUAUCAUCAAAGAGGCACAAUGAAGUUGUAUGACCAGCUCAUUUAUGCUUCUUAAGCAUCAUUUUGCCCCAGCACAGAGAGACAGGUCCAAAUAAGCUCAAAAUGACAAAAUGCUGACAGGGAGCGGCGAUAGGGAUCCAAGCUGUGAGUAUAUCUAAUAUUCAUUAUGAGGCAAGACAAAGGAUACUAGAUGAGAUUACUGAGUUGAUUUUAUAUCAAAAAUUGCUUCAAUAAAUCAAGCACGUCAAGCUGCAUUUGUUAAAAAGGCGAACUUUUUAAUCAAAUUUAAAACAAUUUGGAGACAAUAUCAUUCUCCUCAAACUCUUGAGUCUGGUCACCGAGCUUUAAUGGCACUUUGCAGUCUUGACCUGACAUUGUAAUCUCUGAGCAAACUGACUGGCGCCAAGGGAAGAAUCAGAGGAAAGGAGACACAACAGGGGGGGUCAAACGAGAAAUGAGCUGUGACAAAUUGCAACGACAAAACCGGUUAAUAAAGGCUCCCAUUAAAGCCUUACAUGCGUCCCUUAUGGAUUUAUGUCACUUUGAGCCUGCAGCUUUCGAAGCAUAUUAGAAUCUUUACCUAUUCUGAUGUCUUGAAUCACUAUCAGCACCUUCCAGCAGGAAAAAAAGGAGCAGGUGUGCUGCUCUGAGGUUGUUCUCCACAAAUGAAUAGCGUUACCAUCUUUCUUUAAUGGGGGGAAGGAAACACUCGUCUGCAUGAAGCCACUAAUGUAAUUUAGCAUGGCGUAGCAGCAAAGUAGCUGUCUAUCCUUAAUUGAGCAAUUUAGCAAGAUGUGACAUGGUCAGCCAUCAAUUAGAGCAUCACAUCAAGAACAACAAUUUCCGGUUGGAAUGAUAGGCGAUUGUGAGAAAUCGAUGUUCUGAUGCUUAUUGCAGCACCUGAAUUUCUUUUCCUUCCUCUCUCGGAUGCCUAGAUUCAGAGGCUGUUUAGAUGUGAAGUGGCUGUACUUUUUUGUCGUCCAGGAAAACAGAAAAAUGCGCGCGUAAAGGAAGUUAUAAUAGUAAGAAACCAACUGAAGUAAAAAAGAAAAAUCCAAAUCAUUAAAUGCUUACGAAGAUCGUGGAGUUACUAAUUUAAAAAAACGCACCACAGUUCUUAUUUAUGAAAAGCUCCCUUUUAAGAUAACCUUAUAUUCCAUACCUGCAAAUGGUCCACUAAAUGUCCAGAUUCCUUUGCGCCUUUUCCAUUCCUUUAGCAGCACCAGCGCGGUGUCUUUUUAGGGCGAAGAGAAAGGUAGGCCUCGGCCCAGACCUCUAACAUUAUGUAAAUGAGGCAAACCUCUCAACCUUCUGGAUUACUGAGUCAGAGAGCAGGACCCUGGUCCACAGACCCUCCACAUUAGGAUCCCAUAAAAAUCUGGAGCUAGUUAGAGGCACGCAACGCACAUGGGAGCUUAAAGUCCACAAUAAUAUGGCUGUAAUCAAUAAAGGUUAACUUUCACAUCUGGGAAUGAAGAAGACUUGGCAAAGGCAGGGAGAGCGGGAAACAAGGACGCACAAGGAGCGAUGAAGAAGGCCGCGCUGCAGGUUUGUCAUUAAAACUUACACAUUUCGAAAGAAAAAGAUUUUAAUCGCCCAGCCUUACUCUGUGGCUUUUCUGUUCAUAUUUACCAAAGAUAGAUUGUUUGUGUGGGUUUUUACAGAGUGUGUGUUUCAUGCUAAAAGCAUCGAUCAAUAUACACCUUGCAAUUAAUCUAUCCACGCACUGGCGACAGAAGAGGCAUAAGUGGCACCUUAGAAGCUACCUGAACAAGGAAAUUUCAGUCUAGGGACGAUGUCGAAGGACAAUGUGUUAACUUGCGUGAAACUCUGUAUUUCACCUGUAAAACGCUUUGCGUUUUUCUCUUUGUCUUUCUCUUUUGCUGAAAAUUUAUUUCACCUUAUCUCACUUGGAAAAUAUUUCACAAGCUUUAGAAAAUAGCUUAAUUGCUGAUGUGCAAACCAAAGUCUAUAAGAGAAAAAGUGAUAAGUGCUCUGCUAUUCAGUGAAAAGAUGCAAGCCAGGCAUUGCUUUGCCACCAGCCAUUGAUUCAUCUGUGCUGUGUGCAAGACGUGUAGGGGCAAAAGCGCCCCACAUACAUAAACUGAAAUGGCUGCCUUCAAGGACACGAUCCAUCUUUUCAGUUUAUGAUGAAGAUAUGCUGUUAACCAAAUCCAAAUGAAAGUUUAUGUAGUCCAUGUCCCAGAGACGACCUUUUUCCGAUAUCAUCACCCUCUCAGCUCAGCUCAGCUCAGCAGAGAGCAGCAGAUGGACCAAAGCGCUUGGUGGCUGAAUUGCUUUUCUCUAUCUCGUCCUUGCUGGUUCAAUACCCUGAGAGAUGUGGAGAGAUGGUUGAAGGACCAGGGUCCUGACCUGCAACCUUAACCACACAGUGGCAAAGCACUGAGUGCCGACAAAAUGGGGAUUUAUUUUCAUCUUGCAGCCCUUAAAUCUUUUCUUCUUCUUUUUUUAACUUUUAAAUAUCCCCCUCUAUUGUGAGUAAAAUCUAAACCAGCAAUAACACUAGAGACUUGUGCCCAGUUUCUUCUUACAUGUCUGUAUGUAUUGUUUGGAUUCCUUAGCAGGUGAAAAGAAAAAAACACCCGUAAAUUUUGCGUGCGUAAUUUACGCACGACCAACUGUCGUGGUUUUUCCUUUGUCUCGGCCUCACGGUGGACUUCUUAGGAUAUCUUAUCAUUUCAUCCAUCACAUUUAUCAAUGACGUAUUUAGUAUGGUGAUCAACGAAAAAAAAUACAGACUUGUUCGUCAGGGGUGCUUCAAAAAUUAUUUUAAAAAACAGCAUUACGCACCAAUUUAUCUUCUUUCACCAACAAUCUCAGCACUCAAUAAAUCAAUCAAUCACACAAUACAAAUGGAGUAAAAAGAAGGCGAAAUUAUAUCAAGUAUUUUUAUUUCUAUAAUAUCAGUAUUCGCUCUCAAGAAAGAGACUAAAAUAAUUUCAAUUUCUAUUUGAUAUUAAGCGAUUUACAAGUGACCGACAGUGUCAUUAACAAGAAAUUAAGAGUUUUUAGUGCAUUUUUACGCACGAAAUAAAAACAGUUAAUUUAUUUUUCCGCACGUUACUUUGAAUGUUGAAAUUAGUGUAAAGCCACCAAUAAUUCAUCCUCUUCAGUCCUUUCUUCAGAUUUUUAGGAUUUCUGUACUGUGGUCAGCCCUGAAGCUAAACUGGUGAGGAAAAUUUGUUGAGAAAAUUCCACACCUGCAGUCAGUGUAGUACCAUUUAGAUCAAAUGCUUUCUCUCCUCUUAAAUCGCUGAGCAGUGUGAGAGUAAAAAGCAGGCAGGUGCAUAUCUUUCAGCUGCACUACUUGAAACGGUGCGGUUCCUCAGCUAAGUAGGUUAAAGGUCCUCCCAAGUGGAGAAAGUAUGUGACAGGCCUCUUGAAGACCGUAUUCUUCAGCGGGAGUUUGCAUUCAUUCACAAUUAAUGUCGCUUGAUGGACGAAAUGAUGCUAAUAGGGCGCCCAAAACAGAACAUGGGCUCUUUCGGGAUGUUGACCAUAAUCUGACUGCUGAGGCAAAUGGAGAGCUGGAGAAUUCACAUGCGUAAUAAGUCUGAAGUUACUUUCAUUUCUUACAUUUCCGGGCCAUGACGUGUAUCAGAGUAUUUAUUGACUUAAAUGACAAAAGAAACGAGAUGCAAGGUGAGCUGUCUUUAAAUGGGAUCCUGUGUGGUCAUGUUGCUUGAAGGAAGAGAAUUGAUAUUUUUUUUAACAGGUAAUUACUGUAGUUCUUCCGUCUCUUAAGAGAAAACUGUCAAGGUUCUUUCAGGAAACUGAGACACUUUUGUGUCUAUGUCGCCCAAGAGAAGUUCUUUGAGCUUUUUAAGCCUCUGAACCAAGGCCAUGAAACACAACAGAGAAAGUCAGAGCCUGUGCCACUCACACAGCAUGAAACCAAGCUGUUGAUAUGCACACUAUAAAACCAGUUGUUUGCUCUUUUUGUAAGAGAAGAUGUAAGCAAGAACUCACUUAAAAGUAGCAUGAUAUAACUGCUAAAGACAUGCAGGUUGUGGAUACUCACGCAUAUUUGACUUAAAUAUUUUGCAUUAAAAAUAGUUAAGUGUGUUUGUAAGCCACAGACAAUUAAAACUGAUGUGCUUUCUUUGCAUAAGUACAAAGAAGUUUAAUUUUUCCCAAGUUUUUCCCUCACAAAUCUUACAACAUGAGAGUCAUGAAAUACAAACAUUAAUCCUACCAGUUUGUAUUUAUUGAGAUCAUGUAUUAAAGCCUUAGACAGACACCCACAUCCUGGUUUAGACUUCAGAACAUGCAAAGAAGCAUGACAUUUUUUAUACGCACUUAUAUAUGAUCAACUUUUGUGAGAUUAGCAUUAAAAGUACAUUCAUAAGUGUGACACACAAACACUGUAAAGGUAAGCAAAGUCAGUUAUGACAUUCAGCACUUUGUCACACUGUCUGAAAGUGUUUAGGGCAGAGAAUUUAGUCACUUAGUUGUGAAACAGAUCAAUCCUGCUAUAAUAUAGGCACUCUGUGAGUGCUGCAGACCUGUGCAUUGUUUUCAAUGAGAUCAUUUAAGCAUGGCUGCUCUCUUUUAUACUAACAAUAAAAAAAAGAACACAGCCGCUGAUCAAUACAGAUAGCUAAGGUUCUGGUUGGUUUUCUGCUGCAUUAAACGUGGUAACAGUAAGCAAAGCUGAUUGUGAUCUAACCACAGCUCACUUUAGUUUUGUCACAGGACAAAAUGUCUCUCUCAGGCUCUCUGUGUGUCAAAGUGCCCUUUACAGUCUGCUGGUGUGGCAUUGAGUGAAGUCUGCAUGAUUGUCCUGAAAUGAUCUUAUCAGUUUAUAGAAAAACAAAAACUUGUGGUAGACAUCCUGAAUUUAUAGAUUAAGGUUCCAAAUGUUUUUUCUGACUUCUUUAACCAUUUAUUCUGUACGACUGAACUUUUUUGCUUCUGUUGCCUUUCAUUUGCCUCACACCAAAAAGAAAGAUGAGAUAAAAGUUGGUUUAAUAAUAAAAUCUUAUUGCUUACAGGGUGACUGGUUUACAUUAAAUCAAUUUUUAAAACCAUAGAAAGAAACACAUUUGAGAGUUUAUUAUCUAUGGCAAGUGACCUUGUUAGGCAUUUGCAUGCAUAUUGUGUAUUUCCUUCAAUUCAGUUUUAUUACUUUGCUUAAAGGUUGGGUUUUUUGAUCAGACAGUUGUACUCUCUCAUAGCUGCAGACGUUUCACACCAUCAUAUGGGGUAAAAAAAAAUAAUAAUAAAAUGUGGUUUCACACCUGAAAUUCAUGCAAAUAGCUACAAUCUGUAUCAAGUGUUUCCUGAUGUCCAUUUUUUGCCUGGGAUUCAUUUUUCAGCUUGUUUUCACAUUAACCGUGAAGAGAUGCAUCUUCUAAUCAAAAGUUUCAAAGCACUUUGAGUGCUCUGUGUGGAGACAGAAACUUUUUAAAUGGCUCCACAACUCAUGGAUGGAAAUGUAACCAGAAGCUGCAUAUCAAUGUGAUAGUUCUACCGGUCUGUUUGUCCCCUCUUUUGGACGCUUUUAUCUAGUAGGCCACCUGAUAGCCUACAAUUAUUUAGAUGAAUCCCCAUAAACACAUCACAAAACUACUUUAAAUUCUGAAUGUAUUGAUCCUGACAGACACAAGCACAUCCCAUGUGCGGAAAUUUAAAUUUUAAAGUCAAAGCCCAUUUUUGGGACCCGGUGUAUCAAGAUUAAAAAUCCUCAUUUUGUCUGGUUUUCUUUGGAGAAAUUGAACCCUGCUUCAGUCACCUGCAGCACACUGAAGAGGGGAGGUGGUAAACUGAAGGCUUUGUGAGUGAAAGAUAUCACUGGGCGAAUAAUAGAGCGGCUCCAGGAAUGUAAAACAGACGCCAAUAUUAGCGUUUUAAAAUCAGCUCACCAUCUAAUACUUCAAAAUCACAGAGGAUAUUUUUGUUAUGUGACUGUCUGUGUUUGUCACUAAAUUUAUUCACAAAAUUCUUUAACAAAAAGCUAUUCUUGUCUUGUAGGUGAAGCCAUGCCUGUGUGUCAAUAAUGAACAAUCAAAAGCAUAAAAAAUAAAUAAAAAAUCAGUGGUGCCAUUUUAAAGAAAAACUCUAUAUUAAACAAUCCUAGUGUGAUAAUCCAGCUUUUUAUUUUAUUGAGAUUUCAUAUCCUUUUUUUUAUAAUAUCAAAAAUAAAGGGGAAAAAUGAAUAUUAUAUUAGAAAUAUUAAUGAUCUUUCAUACAGCAUUACAAUAUUUGUCAUAUUCUUUAAUUAAAUUUCCCUUUAGGGAUUAAUAAAGUUCUUCUUAAUCAUUUCCCCUCUUCAUGUUUGUCUCUGGAAAAAAAAGGAAAAAAUUAAAUAAAAUUACACCUCUUUAUGUACUGAUUAAAUCAUCCUAAUUUGGUAAAUCCUGAUAUAGUUGCAUAAGGAGGUCAAACACAGAAAAAGUUUAGACUUAAGACAGGACAUUUUUAAAGUGCUUUGCUGAAGGCCAUAUUUGCUAACUUUACACAGCAGAACAGAGUCGACCAAAGAAAUCUUAACUUAACAAACGCUUCAGUCAGUAGGCAGUGAUUUUUUUUUUCUUUCAUUGAGACAGAAAAGUACAGACAUUUAAUUUACUUUAAGUGGACGUUAAGGGAAACCUAAGUGAAUUUUCUCCAAAGACCAAGACCAAAGAAACUUUACACCUACACCUCAUACUUAGAGCUACUUUAUAUCCAUGUCUCAACUAUACCUAAUACUUAACAACUCUCAUUUUGAUGGAGUCAAAGCUAAAGCUGCUAACAUGUGCAAAAUGUGCAUUUUGAAAGUCGAAACAGCAAGGUAGGGUUUUGUACAUUUAGAUUGUGAUGCUACUCAGCAGAGUUAAUACACAAGAAGUGGCAUGAUUUGUGAGCAACGUGUGAGGAUUUCAGUUUUCUUGAGUGGCUGCAUUUAAAAUUACUGCAGGUAAAAAGUCACUCAAUGGAAACAGAGGGGAAAAAAGGAAAGAAACAAAAACAAAACAAAACAAAAAAAUACCAGUAAUACUGUGGGUACAAUAUUUGACACGGCAAUAGAUGAUCAUCUUUCUACAAAAAAGUGUGUGAAAUACACAACAGAAGUAAGCAGGCAUUAACAGAGGCCACAAUUUGUUACACACAAAGUGUUUGUGUAGAAAUGUACAACCGUGUGUUCAAGUGUCAUGCAGAAAUGACUAACAUCCAGCUAAAUUAUAGAAAAUGAUGGAGUGAGAAUGACAUCCAAACAAGAAAAUGCACAAAUAUUAUAUAUAUUUGUUUUGUAUGACAGUGAUACAUCAGAAUUAUGGUUUAACUUGCAUUUUUUUUCACCUGUCCUUCAAUUUUUCAAAUAGUUUGGCACAAAAACAACCAUAUGCACUCGAUCAGUUAUAGAAUAAAGCCUUAGAGGGAUUAAUAUAAAAUCUGAAUUAGUGUAGAGUAAAUGCCUUUACAUGUUUCAUGUAGUUGUAUGGGUCUGUCAGCACACAGGUGUAAAUGACAGCAGAGCGACAUAUUUCAGGGAUGUCAUCAAAACAAAUGUCAAAAUCUGCUUUUGAAGAAAGAAAACAGAAGCUCAAUCUGGAUCAUGUUUUUCUAUAAUCAUACUUAAUGUUUAGGUUUUCAAAGAGACUUAAUGUUCCUUUCAUUUAACAUCUUCUCUGCCUCCUACGUGAAACUAACUCAUCCAAGGCUGGCAUGCUUGUCGAGUCAAUGCGUCACUUCAGAGAUGAUAUAAUGCAGGAAAGAAAAAAAACAUAUUAACUCUACCGUAGUACCAUUUAUCACACAAUAAUAUCAAUAUUUAUUAGUAAAAGCUCUCUAUUAAACAUCAAAAUAGUGAGAGUUAUUGUUAAGCUCUGAAGAUGAAACCCUUCAGCUGUGUUUUAUUAUCACAUUCACAAAGAUUGAUUCAUGUUAAAAAAGUAUUUUACCAUUUACAGUGUCAUUUCUGCCUUUUCACACACUCUACAUUUCUCAUAAUUCCACUCAUCCCCAUCGGAUCAAAAAAUCUUAGGGUUUAGAGAAAGUAUGUUUAAAAGUUAGAAUUUUUUAAGGGUAGUUCACAAAAGACAUAAUCUAUGAAUUGUUACACAGAGAUCUAGUAAAUAAAGACGUUGUGCAUUGACUUGUUUUACACCUUUCCCCAACAUGUGAUUUCUGUGCGUCUGCCUUCCUAAUGCUUUGCAGUCAUAACAAGUCUUGCUGGGGCUAAUGGCUCUCUUGUUUGUUGGUUUUGUCUCGUCUUGUUUCAGUGAUUCUUCCUCUCUGGAAGGAUGUCAGCUCGCUGUGCCCGGCCGUCUCUGAGGACGCUUGAUGUCAUCUCGUCUACCUGAUCAUUACACUACCUGUUCUCCUCUACAAUGCUGCCCUCUCGCUGCUCUGCCACUUGAAAUGCUUGGCUGGCCUCUUCUCUGAAACCAUCAUGAAAUUGUUUGCUAAAACGCUGCAGACUGUUCCUCCUCUCUCCUCCCUCCAGCCAUGUGUGCAGGAGCCAGAAAAGAUUCCUCCACUCAGACAACUGCUGCUCAGUCAAAAGGAAAACACACAAAAUACCCUUCAGCCGCCUGCCUCUGUUCACCUCCUCACAGCUUUUAUUGAUGUUUGAAGUGUGUGAGAUUUUAUUGACUGCAGCAGUAUCCAGGUAAAUUAAAUGGACACAUGCCAUAGUUGUUUAAAAGGUCAGGAUUUACCGUCACAUAGGUUCACUCACUCUGUCUGACUCUGGAUAUGAGAUGGUGAAGAGUCUGUGAAAAGAUAAUUCGUAUCAUGGGCACUUAUUUUUGAGGAGUUCCCUUUAUUAAUCAACAAUAAUGUAUUUUUUUUCAUGCUUAACAAGAAGAUAGAGUAUAAUAACCUUGUGCUGCUAUUAUAUUUUUAAUCUUUCAUGCAGUUUGAAUAAGAAAAAGAUCUACAGUCAAUGCAUCAAAAGGAAAAAUAUUCACACAUUUUUUCGUCUUCAAGUAGAUUCUUUGUGUUAGCGAAGAGCUCUCUCUUUUUUGCAAUCCAAGAAAUGUACAUCAUAAUCUUAUUUUUUAAUUUUUAUUAAGACAUGUAAGACAUAUGUAUAAGAUGGGAUGUCCACGCUGAAUCACAGCUGUAGUCAUUCUCCAUUAAGCUACAUUGUCCCAAGGCUUGAGUGCUGUGAAUUUAGUCUCACUGUCACACUGUUGUGGCCAUUUUCUAAUGUUACUACUAACAUCUGCACUUCUCUUGUGUUUUCAGGGCCUAUUGUUUCCUGCAAAUGUUUUAUGCAGGGUUUGGUGUUUGCCCUUUUGACCCUGCUGUAAUGACACUGUCUACUCUGUUACAAAGAGUGAUUAUCUUUACUGGGAAAAGUGAGCAUUUUAUUUAUCGUCAUUUAUAGUUAUUUAUGAAUUUUCUUGAGAACAUUUCUCUGAGAUAAAGUGAUAGUGACUAUUAUCACUAUUUCAUCUGAACGAUUUACAUCAACAGAUAAAAAGCGAAAAUGCUGUAUUCUGCUGUUUAUUUAAAAAAAAAUUCUCAUUAAAAAUGUAAACUAUUUGCCUACUGUUUAGCCCUUGUAAGCUUUUGGGAAGAUACAUGCAUGCACUUUUUUUCACAAAAGGAGCGUGAUUUUAGUCCCUCGUUAGUUACAACAAAAGUGCAUUAUUAAAAAAGAGGGAGAGACAACCACAAGGAAAACCUAGUGCUUUUAUUUCUGGGCUUUUUAAAAAAUGUGAAGCUUUUAAAUCUUAUAGAUGAUCCAGAUUGUUCUAUUUUAUUACUCUGUCUUCUGGUAUGUGACUCAGAGAAAACACUAGAAUGGAACUAAGUACUGCAAAAUUACUCUCACAUGAAGGUUGCUUUGAACAAAAGCGUCUGCUAAAUGAAAUUGUAGGAUUGUAGAUAACUCAACAACUCUGCCAUUGACAAUAUUGUUGAUGAUUUUUCCACUUUUUAGAAGAGACAGUUUGAUGAACAUGAGACACACAUCAUCACACGAUCUGUGGUUUCCAUCAUCUUUGACUAUUUGAGUGAUCCUCUGGGUUUACAUUACUCCAGACUUAUGUUCUGAAUAAUGUGGAUGUAAACAAGUCUUAAUGUAUAGCUAUGUUAAUCAUGUUUAUUCAAUAUGAUAAUGUAUUUCAUGAGUAUAUAUCUUAUAUGUGAAUACAGUAGACUGUUUGAACACGGCUGCGGUGUCAGAGCAGCCGUCUGGCACACAUUCGUACAUCUGACCCAGGAAAGUCUGGAGUCUCCUACCUGUCCACCGCAUGACAGUGCAGCGCUUCACUGCUGGACACUUCGCAGCUGAGGGAAAAGGAGGAGGAGGGCUGUUGAGGAGGACUUCAGUAGCAUCACCAGAGACAGGACUGUGGUUACUUAAGUUGAAUGUAACUCCUCCUGGAUUAACGGAUCUCAGUUGCACUUCCAAAAUGUGCAGAUGGAUAGCCAAGCACUAUUUCAUGCUUUAAGCUAAAACUUCAAUAACUUUGCUUUUACAAAAAAAAAAAAAAAUCCUUUUGUAUGAUUUUUUAAAAACUUUUUAUGAAGACUGUAUCUGCCAAAGCUACUUUUAAUGUAUACAUCCUUAAUCUUCAGGAUUAACUUCAACACACUACAUCUUUAGCUUGAGGAAACUUCCAACAGUUUGUGAAUGUUGGUGAUUAUUGUCACCUUAAAUUAAUUUUCAAUAACAAGUCUUCUGUGUGUUUCUAAAUUGGAGCUUAAACACUGUAUAUGAAAAUGAGUAAGUACACCAUGCAAAGCCACUGACUGAAAUUUUGAAGUUAUGAUACAAUAUUUGCAGCCAGUUCGAUGCUUUAAAAGAAUCAUUGGUCACUUUCAGAGUUAAUUGUGAUACUGAGAGUGUUAGUUUGCUGUGGGUGUUUCUUAUAUGGUGCAGUGUGCAUUUAGCAGCAUUUAACAGAACAGAAUUGGCAAAUUAAAUGUGACAUUCAAAUGUGUUUAAAUUAGUGUGUAAUAACCAAAAAACUUAGAAUGACUUAGAAUGACCUGGAAUGAUCUAUGUACGAGUUAGUCCACUCCCACAGAGGCGGGUGUCUUGCGCCAUGUCUUUACAAACGACUGAAGACCAUUAUGCAAAAUUGCCAAAAAUGUAGCACUUGAAGAUAUUACAGCAAAAAAUAAAAUUAAAAACUAGAUAAAUAAAAUAAAAUAAAAUAAAAAUUUUGAUAGACAUUUUUGGUUUCCAGAUCUUGACAAAGGAGGAUCAUACCUAUCAUGCAUCACAGGAGCUUUUUGUCCUCCAAGGCCACUGUAGAGUCUAGAGUUCCAUCAGUGGGAGGGGUUCAGUCUGGAGUCUGACUGCUUCAUAUCACUGAGUGUUGUUUUUUCUUUUCAUUUUUUUUACACACUGUAGCUUUAAGUUAAGAUUAUGCAAAAAUCAUUGAUUAAACAGAAGUGCAUCAUGUGACAGUUUUUCUCCUUUCUUUCUUUGUCC
RNAcentral lists this long non-coding RNA (11679 nucleotides) under Xyrichtys novacula (pearly razorfish). Lineage: Eukaryota; Metazoa; Chordata; Actinopteri; Labriformes; Labridae. The record is from RNAcentral.